GACGAACGCUGGCGGCGCGCUUCAUCCUGCAAGUCGAACGACCCCGAGACUUCGGUCUCAAUGGGAGAGUGGCGAACGGGUGAGUAACACGUGAGAAACCUACCCCGGAGAUGGGAAUAGCCCAGGGAAACCUGGAUUAAUACCCGAUACCCUGCUUGCACCUCAUGGUGCGUUCAGGAAACGCUCCGGUGCUCCGGGAGGGUCUCGCGGCCUAUCAGCUUGUUGGUGAGGUAACGGCUCACCAAGGCAUCGACGGGUAGCUGGUCUGAGAGGACGAUCAGCCACACUGGGACUGAGACACGGCCCAGACUCCUACGGGAGGCAGCAGGAGGGAAUAUUGCGCAAUGGGCGAAAGCCUGACGCAGCGACGCCGCGUGGGGGAAGAAGGCCUUCGGGUCGUAAACCCCUUUCAGCAGGGACCGAAAUUGACGGUACCUGCAGAAGAAGCGCCGGCCAACUACGUGCCAGCAGCCGCGGUAAU
This 481-nucleotide ribosomal RNA is filed under the name uncultured bacterium. RNAcentral describes it as "bacterial SSU rRNA". It matches the Rfam family "Bacterial small subunit ribosomal RNA", at positions 28 to 524 of the family's 1533-position model. The record is from RNAcentral.